This 343-nucleotide long non-coding RNA is filed under the name Cebus imitator (Panamanian white-faced capuchin). RNAcentral's name for it is "HOXA transcript at the distal tip, conserved region 3 (ENSCCAG00000002816.1)". It matches the Rfam family "HOXA transcript at the distal tip, conserved region 3". The record is from RNAcentral. Lineage: Eukaryota; Metazoa; Chordata; Mammalia; Primates; Cebidae.
UUUUGGGGCCGUGUUUACCGACUCUUCUCCUCUGCCUCUGCCCUGCUCAGCCGGGGCUUUGAGCCUCUUUGGUUUCCCAGCCAGACCCGGAAAAAUGAAAACACAGCUUGGGGAGCCCCCACCAGCCGGCGCCUGUGCCAGCUCACCUCUGGCCAUGGUGGCAGCUGCCGGUGCACAAGGCGGCCAAAGCCAGCUCCACAAUCUUCCCUCCCCCUCCCACUUUACCAGGAGCUCCGAACCCUGCGUGCAGAGGAAGGGCCUCAGCUCCACAGACGACUAGGUCCCUCCUCACCGAAAAUGGUGAGACAAGAUUUCAUCUUGUCCGCUGAGGAGCCACAAGCAG